AAGGGAUAUAUCUCAAGCCCAAUUGGGCAACACUCACAAGCCCACAUGGGCUAAUUAACUGGAACCAAAAGCCCAAAUCAAAGAAGUGGGGCAAUCCAAACAAUUGUAGGUAGAGUUCCACUAAACCCUACCUAACUUUUCUUCACACAUCAAACUCCUAGCUGCCAAGCCGAGAUUCAAAGCUUCCGUUGGUAAGAAGGCAGCCAUAUUGGUGGGGCACUGGCCUAGAGGAGCGUCGGCCUUGCGGAGGGUAACGACGAGAUGGCUGUCAGCCGAGCAUAGUUGACAGCCAUGCAGGCUGCUGGCCAUCCAAGUGGCUGGCCUUAUGGGUGCCGAUAGAGCAAACGAAGCAAUAAACACAGAUCUGGGAGGAGAUGGAGAGACCAGCGAAUCCAGAUCUGGGCAGGGACUUGGUCACAGACAAGUUUCACACGAGAUGGGCAGCAGCACAUGGAUGGGCAGCUGCAGGUAGAGAGCGGAGAACUCGGUGACAACAAGGUCCAGAUAUGAUCUACAGCAAAGCCAGCAGCACAAUGUCACUCCAGAUCUGAGCAGCAGCUCAAGAACUCACCAUAUCUGAGGCUUGACGAAAAGGAAUCUCAAGGGAGUUGGUAAGGGUGGAGCACGACUUCCUGAUCAUGUGAGACAAAGGAGGAAAGAGAAGGAGAGGGAGAGGGAGAGGGAGAGGGAGAAGAAGAAAACAAAGAGAGGAGGAGGAAGAAGAUAGUGGAGGACGAGAGGGAGAGAGGGAGAGGAUGAGAGGAGAGAGAGAGAGAGAGAGAGAGAGAGAGAGAGAGAGAGAGAGGGGGGGGGGAGGAGCUGGCUGUAAACCUUCUGUGGGUAGGGCAAAAAGAGAGGAUGGAAGGUUUUGGUCUAAUUAUGCUGUCUUACCUGACUUAUCAAUGAUAUUUGAUUUCUGAUUUGAAUGAUUUAUUAUUAUAUGAGGAAGUUAGAAAUAAUCGGAAGUGAUAUUCAUCAGCAUCUGAGAACAAGGUUUCAACAUUAAAACAAGCAGAAAGAAUGGAACAAUAAUUCAGUUAUCAGAUUCUUAGAUCAGUGUAUUGUUUGUUUGGGGAGGAAAUGUAUGGUUGCAACACAAAAGCGGCAACCUUUGCCCCAAAGUCUUAUAUUAGGGUCUCCUAUAUCAUAGAGCAUUUGGCAUUGACUACCUACCUGACUUGUUGAUUGAAGCAUCUAUGUCUGGAUCUACUGAUGGGCUCUCAUAUUUUAAAUGUAAGCAUCAUGAUUGGUCUGAGAACACUAUUUCAAAUGCCUGAUUGUAUGUUUGAAGACCAUCAACAAUGAGAUCCAUGACAACUCAUGAUUAAAGUUUUCUGUUGCAGAAUUUUAACGCCUCAAGGGGAGGAGAUGGAGAUAGGAUCCUCCAAUGAUGAUAUACCGACUGAAAUCUUAUCGUGACUGCCCACUGAAUAUCUACUUGGACUAAAAAUCGUCUGUAAAGGGUGGCACCGCCUUAUAUCUUAUCCUUGUUUCAUCCGUAUUCAGUUAGAAAGAUCACAGACUAUAUCAGGUUUCUUAUUCCAAGAGAGAUUUUAUUGGUGUGAUGAAGAUAUUCCAUCUUUGAGUUACCUCUCUGUUGGAAUGAAGCAAGCUGUUGUGCAAAACACUAUCUUGGAUUUCCUCCCAGAGAAGGUAGCCCUUAGCUCUUCAUGUAAUGGGCUUAUUUGUUGCCGAAGUUGCUUCCCUGCUGAAGAUCCGGUGAUCUAUGUCUGCAACCUUUCCAUCAAGGAAUGGAUUGAAGUAAAGUGGGGAAAUACGGAUAAAAAAGACAGCCUUGCAUUAGCCUUCAAUCCUCUUAGUCAUCCAGUUGAUAUUUGCAGAGAUUACAAAGUAGUUAGAAUCCAUCAAACAGAAACGGAAGAAGAUUCGUACUUUAUCAUUUGAAAUCUAUUCUUCUGAGACUGGAACAUGGAAAAGCUUGGCGGCGGGAUUUGAAUGCUAUUAUAAUCUGUUCAAGAACCAUGGAAUAUUCGCUUCUGUUUUCUUGCAUUGGCCGACUGAUGGGGAUCACAUCCUUGUUAUCAACGUAGAAAAGGAGCAGGUGAAGCUGAUCAGACUAUCAUCUCCCACAAUGCCAUAUAAAGAACUACCUGAGAUUUGUAUUGGGGAAUCUGGAGGAUAUCUACAUUUCGUCCGGAUCUCUAUGGCUGGGCUUCAAAUCUGGACCCUUGAAAAUUAUGCUGAGCCUGAAUGGGUGAUUAAAUGCUCCAUAAAAUUAGAUGAUCUGGAGAAAGAAAAUCCAAAAGUCCUUUACAAGCUCUGAAAUUGUCUCGGCGGUUCACAAUAGAUGAGUUAUCAUGGAUGGAUCUUUUGGCAUUCCAAGGUGAUCUCUUGUUUAUGAGGGUAUCUUCCAAGGUCUACUUGUAUCACAUUAAGACAAGGAAGAUGAAGGAGCUCUGCACCCUAACACAGUUGUGCUCCCCACAGUGCUUCCAUAUAGCAUGAGCCUGGUUCCAUUGGGACAACUCGCUUGUGCUCUCUAUCGUGCUUCCAUAUAGCAUGAGCGUGCUUAUAUUGGGAUAUCAUUAAGAAGUCCUGGAAGCUUUUAUUUUGAAGAGUAUAUUAAAGGUUUUAUGAGCAGGAGAGGAAAAGGAAAGGAAAAACGCUGCGCCUACUUCGUGUUUUGAAGGUUUUCACAGUCAGAAUUAGAGAGUGGUUGUUUUGGUUUUUUGGGUUAUGAGUAUCAUUAGGGUCUAGAUCAAGACUUACUUUCUGUUGUCCACACGGGAUAUAUACUGAAUACAUGUUCGUAGUUUGAUUUUUUGAGAUGGAGCCAA
Long non-coding RNA from Macadamia integrifolia, 2798 nucleotides. RefSeq lists it as uncharacterized. The transcript is spliced from 4 exons. The record is from RefSeq and is a predicted model, not a curated record. NCBI's taxonomy places the organism in Eukaryota, Viridiplantae, Streptophyta, Magnoliopsida, Proteales, Proteaceae.